GUUGGUGCAAGAUUGAUAAUACUUGCAUGACUAAGUUAAAAAUGGAGGUAUAGAUGGAGGUACUAUACUGUAAUUCGUAUUUUCACAUGAUUAUAACUAUUGAUUCACAUGAUUGAACUAUUGAUUCACAUUAUUUACUAUUAGGGGAGGUGGUGCAAGUUUGAUAAUACUUGCAGGACUAAAUUAAAAAUGAAGAAAAAGAGGAAGGUAUUAUACUGUAAUAUUUCGAGCCCCAAAACGUGCAAUUAUCGAAACUAUAUUUUCCUAUAAAUAGAAGCUCAUUCUUCCUUCAUUUCUCACCAAUUCACUAAAGCUAUAGAGCAAUUAUUAUAGAGAGAAAUUAUAGAGAGAAAGAAGAAGAGAAGUCUGCUACCUCUCUACUCCAGUAUCCAGUUUCUUUCUAAGGUAAGGGGUAUUAUUUCUUUCGUAUUCAUGAAGAGAGCUUUUGUUAUUCCAUUCUUUAUUAUUAUGUUGGAAUAACCUGUCUAUGCGAAGUACCGCAUACAUGGUGAAAUUCUUUUGUUAUUCCAUUCUUUAUUAUUCUGUUGGAAUAUCCUGUCUGUGCGGAUUACGCUAGACCUGGUUCCAUUCUUUAUUAUUCUGUUGGAAUAACCUGUCUGUGCGGUCUAUCGCAUGCAUGGUGAAUUCUUUUGUUAUUCCAUUCUUUAUUAUUCUGUUGGAAUAUCCUGUCUGUGCGGAUUACGCUAGACCUGGUUCCAUUCUUUAUUAUUCUGUUGGAAUAACCUGUCUGUGCGGUCUAUCGCAUGCAUGGUGAAUUCUUUGUUAUUCCAUUCUUUAUUAUUCUGUUGGAAUAUCCUGUCUGUGCGGAUUACGCAUGACCUGGUUCCAUUCUUUAUUAUUCUGUUGGAAUAACCUGUCUAUGUGGAUUAUCACAUGCAUGGUGAAUGAUCCUUCGUAUUCAUUCCUUAUUAAAUUGUGGAAAUGAUCUGUCUACGUGGAUUACCGCAUGGCGGGUGAAAAUCCAUUUGCAGUUUCAUAUAUUCUAUUAUACUCAGUUGGUUAAAGUUUUGGCUUCUAUACUCCAUGAAAUUAGUAGAAUAUCCUGGAUAUUUGCGCUUCAUCCAGUAUCUUUUCAUGGAAAUAUUCUUCUGAGCAUUCUUGAAUUUUACUCCACAAAGCAGUAUCAUGUUGACAAUUUGGACGUAAUUGAUUUCAGGAUAAAUUAACUUAUAAAUCUUUAAAAUUUAUUCUUGAACUUGUUUUAUUGAAUUAUUAUGUCAUUGUCAUCAUCCUCAUGCUUAUAUUGUGAUGAAAGUCAUCUUUGGCUUACGUGCAUAGAUGGACUUGGUAUGAUUAUGACCAGGGAUUAUUCGGUAUAAUCAUGACCUGUAAUGUUAUAAAUGAUGUGGUAAAAGUCCUCAGUGGCCUGUAGUGCAUUGAUGGACAGUUUUUGGUAUGAUUAUGACCAGGGAUUAUUCGGUAUAGUCAUGACCAUUGAUGAUUUAAUGAAUAUCCUUGGCCCGUAGUGCAGGGAUGAUUCGAUGAUGUGGUUUAUUUAUUAAGCUGAGUCUCAGCGAUAAAAAUUGAUGAAAACAUUUUAAAUCAUAGAAGAUAGUAGAUAUCAUGCUCUACUUGACUCUUCUAAUGGAUUGCUUAUUCCGCUGCAGUUAAACUUGAUGUCUAUUGUAUUUUAUCAGUUUAACAUUGUUGAAGGCUAAUGAUAAUUUAUUCUGCAUUAUCUUAGUCAUAAUAUUUCUUACUGGGCUAGUUGAGCUCACCCUUUCUUUCACUGUUCUCUUCAGGAAAUGAGAAUAUAGCUGGGACAAAUCGAGGAACGGAGUGAUUGUCCAGAUGAUAGCAUUAGUAGUCCUCACUAUUCUGUUAAAUAGUGUGACAAUAAAUAUAAUGAGGACUCCAUUGAGUGUGGAUAUUGUCUAGAUGACAAUAUUCUUAUUAAAACUCUCAGUUUAUGUUUUGUCGUAUUUUACACGACAGUUGUAUUAUUAAGUUGUAUUUGUAUUUUUGUACCAUGUAUUUGGAGACUCAAGAUGGGUGAUGUAUACCUGUUUUUGGGGCGUCACAAUAUGGGAAUCUAUAAUAUAUAGUAAAACAUGCUAUGCUAACAUAUCAUCACAUGUAUCCACGUAACAAUAUAAUUUCCAAUUUACAGAGACUUUACAGAAAACUUGAAAGCCAAUUAUUUUACAAAACUUAUACAACGUAAUUUGAAAUUUGGGGAAGAAGAGAUUACCCUUGAUUACUCUUCUUGGAUUACACAAGGUGAUAACAAGUUAACAACUCCCAAUUUCCACACUUCUUCUCAUUUAAUCUCACUGAUUCUCAAAACUCUCUCUCCCUCUCUGUUUUGCUUUUCCAGACUUAGCAAAUAAUAAAACAAAAGGAAGACGUAUAUAAUAAAGAACUGACGCGUUGUGGAGGUCAAUUACCCAUCAUGGGUUAACUGCCCUCAACUCCCACUAAGGCCAUGUUUGGCUAGCUUUAAAAAGCUUAUACCCAUUUAAUUUAAUUAAUCCCUUAUAAUAUAGUUUAAAUCAUGUCACAUCCAAUUAGAUAAUAAAUCAAACAUCUAAUUUAAUUUAAUUCAAAUAACAUAUAAUAAUUUCUCAUUAAUUCACAGUCACAUAAUUAAAUUUCUCAUUUAUUAAUUAUGUCAGAUUCAUUAAUUCUCAAAUUAAUUAUUAAAUUAAUUAAAAUAUCAUUAGGCUUAUUAAAUAUUUCUUUUAAUUUUAUAAACUCACAUAAAUACAUACUUCGAAUAAUAAAAUUCUUCACAUUAAUUUAAUAAAUAUAAUACAUAUAAUUAAAUUAAUCUAUCACAACUUCAUCAAUUAAUUAUUUAAUCUAAUAAUUAAUUCAUCAAAAAAUAUUUAUUUAAUCCAAUAAAUAUUAAAAUUAAAUUACAAAAUCUCGGUUGUCACAUCUUCACCACCUCUCAUACCCAAGAUCUUUGUCGAGGUAAUGUCGGCAACUCAAGAGAUGAUAUCAUUGGGCUAUCAACCUGGAAAAGGGUUGGGCAAAGAUCAUCAGGGCAUUAAAUGCCCAAUUCAAGUUCCCAGUCAAACAGGGACAGCCGGACUAGGCUAUUCUGCCAAUUCCAGUAAUAGGAAUCCUCAUAAGCAUAAACAGAUUCCUUCAGCUUCAGCCACAUGGUGAUUAUCUCAAAUUAUAGAUCCUGAGCCUAUACAGUCUCCGAGAAAGGUUCAUGCCCAUGUAAUGGAUAUGUUAUUUCCCGAACCGAUACCGGUUAAAGUAAAAGAGAUCUUAAUUCCUGAUCCCGAAGUGGAAGAAAGGGAACGAAGACGUAAGCAAGACAUUGCCAGGAGAUUGUCUCGCCUACGCAUCAUUUUCCAUGAUGAGAACACAAAUAGAUACACCUCAGACGAUGAUUGUCCAGAUAUUAUGGUCAUCAUUCGGGAAAAGGAGGACGAUAAUAGCCCCUUUAUCACUGCAGUCCAAUAGGACUUCACCCUUGAUAAUUGGAUCAGCACUCCUUGUAUUUGUCGCCAAGGGUAAAAAAGGGUAGAAACUCCCUCUGCCCUGUAGAUAGCUAUAACUGCUUACUUUUCUGUACAGUAUUAGCAGUUAUUUUGUCAUUACAGGCUAACACUUUGUAUGAUUGAAUAGUUUCAUAUAUUAAGUAAAAGCAUAUUUUGUUUCAGAACUCUGAAUUUAGAUGUGCCUAUACUUGCUGAUGAGGUGCCUUUUCUCCACAAGGACUGUAACUUUGAUGAAAAGUUGGACUCAGAAUUAAUGGAAAUACAAGAGGACACUGAGAUACCUCAGGAGAUCAAAGAAUGGGUCGAGGAUAAACCAAAACCUAAUCUUGAUCAAACCAUCUCAUUCAAUCUCGGAACCUUAGAAAACCCUUAGCUAAUCCAGAUUGGUACAGACCUCACUCCAAACCAAAGGAAUAACAUGGUUACACUAUUAACCCAAUUCCAAGAUGUGUUUGCAUGGUCUCAUGAAGACAUGGUGGGCGUAUCCACUGACAUCGACAUUCAUCGUCUUCUCAUUAAAGAGGGAUUCAAGCCAGUCUGGCAGAAGCUCAAGUGAUUAAAACCUGAGUGGAGUUUAAAGGUUAAAGAAGAAAAUGUGAAACAAUUUCAAGCUGGCAUCAUCAUGGUGUCUACAUACCCUAAAUGGCUAUCCAACAUAGUCCCCAUACCUAAACUAGAAGGAAAGGUGCGAGUUUACAUGGAUUAUCGGGAUUUGAAUAAAGUUUGCCUUAAAGAUAACUUUCCCGUGCCAUUUAUCCACAUUCUCAUUAACAAUAUUGCUCAAUACGGCAUAUACUCCUUUGCUGAUUGUUUUGCGGGGUACCAUCAAAUCAUGGUUAUUGAGGAGGAUCAUCAGAAAACUGCAUUCAUCAAGCCUUGGGGAACCUUUUGCUAUAGACGGUUGUCAUUUGGCCUCAUUAAUACCAGCGCUAUGUACCAGCUAGCCAUGAUGGCUCUUUUUCAUGACUUAAUUAACAAGGAGAUAGAGAUCAAUGUGGAUGACAUCAUUGUCAAAUCCCGAAUGGAAGAAGACCACUUACACCAUCUCAAAAAGCUAUUCAACAGGUUGCGUAAGUAUAAAUUGAAGUUGAAUCCAGCCAAGUGCGCCUUUGGCGUUAAAUCAGGCAAGUUGCUAGGUUUCCUAGUCAGCCACAAAGGGAUUGAUCUGGAUCCCACCAAAAUCCAGGCCAUCACGGAAACGCCCAUUCCUCAGACAUAGAAGGAAAUACGAGGAUUUUUGGGAAGGAUCGACUUCAUUAGCCGAUUAAUCUCCCAACUUACAGCAACAUGUGAGCCUAUUUUCAAAGCUGUUAAGAAAGAACUCCUCCAUGAAAUGGAACAAUGAGUGUCAAAAAGCCUUCCUUACAAUCAAAGAACAACUGAUCAAAGCUCUUAUUUUGGUACCUACCAGGGAUGAUGUUCCCCUAUUUAUGUACCUGUCCAUCAAUGACAAUGCUAUGGGCUGCAUGCUGGGAUAGAAAGAUGAUAGAGGCAAAGAACGAGCUAUCUACUACCUCAGCAAAAGAUUCAGUAGCAGUGAACACAAGUACACUCUAAUUGAGAAGACUUGUUGUGCUUUAGCAUGGGCUUCCAUGAGGUUACAGCAUUACCUCCAUGGUCACACAACCCAUCUCAUAUCCCGCGUGGAUCCUCUCAAGUACGUGUUCAAUAAACCCAUAUUGAAUUGUCGACUAUCCAGAUGGCAGUUGAUCCUACAGCAAUUUGACAUCGUAUACGUAACACAAAAGUCUAUCAAAGGUCAAGGAAUUGCGAAUCAACUAGCCGCCGCACCUUUAGGGGAUUUCAAACCCUUGGAAACAUACUUCCCCGAUGAAAGGGUAAUGACAGUCCAGCAACACCAUCAGUACGAUACACACCAAUUAUGAAAGAUGUAUUUUGAAGGAGUUGUAAACAGGGGAGCAGUAUCCCGUCGCCUUUAAAUUGUAGUUUGUCAGCACCAACAACACAACUAAGUAUGAAGGUUGUAUCAUGGGACUAAAACUUGCUCAAUCAAUGGGUAUCAGACAGUUAACUGUCUUUGGGGAUUCCUAAUUGGUAAUCAAACAAACCACCGGGAUCUAUCACACCAAAGACCUACAUUUUCUUCCUUACCAUCGACAGGUUAUCCAGAUGGCUUCAGAGUUUGAAGAAAUAAACUUCCUCCACAUUCCUCGGAAUAGGAAUGACUUUGCGGAUGCGCUAGAAACUUUGGCCUCUUUGAUCAACAUAUCUGACAAGGAAAACAUGCCAAGCAUCCCAUUUGCCCUACAAAAGGCUCCAGCCUAUGGGAAUUACAUUUGAGAAGUAUCGGAUGAGCUACCUCCCAUCCAAUACCCUUGGUAUCAGCACAUCAAGGAGUAUCUACGAGAUGGAUCUACACCCGUUGAGGCGAGUCCUGCUAAGAAAAAGUGAAUCCAUCGAAUGGCUAUAAAAUUCUACCUGAGCGGAGAUGCACUCUACAAACGAGAUGCGGGAUUAGGUCUCCUCAAAUGUCUGGACAAGGACCAAGCUCAAAGACUCAUGGAUGAAAUCCAUGGUGGAGUAUGUGGCCCACACAUGAGCGGCCCUCUACUUGUUAAAAAGAUCCUCAAAAUAGGGCAUUACUGGCUCUCUCUCAAAGAUGACUGUGAUGAUCACGUCAAGAGAUGUUAUCAAUGCCAAAUUCAUGGGAAUGUUAUCCUCGCCCCUCCAAGGGAACUCCACAUUAUGAGUUCACCCUGGCCCUUUCUUAAUGUGUGGAAUGGACGUGAUCGGGCCCAUCGAGCCCAAAACCAGUAAUGGGCAUCGGUUUAUCUUCACCAUGAUCGACUACUUCACCAAAUGGGUAAAAUCAGCCUUCUUCCCCAAGGUUAUCAAAGAAGUCAUCAUUUGUUUCAUUAGAAACAAUGUCAUUUAUCGAUAUGGACAACCAGAGGUUAUUGUUUUAGACAAUACUAAGAACCUCAACAACAAAAUGAUGGAGGAGUUGUGCAGUAAAUUCCACAUCAAACACCUUAACUCCUUUAUCUAUCAUCCAAAGAUGAAUGGUGUUGUUGAAGCAGCUAAUAAGAACAUCAAGAAGAUCAUGCAAAAGUUGUCCGCCAAUCACAAAGGAUGGCUUGACCUCUUGCCUCUGACUCUAUUAGCCUAUAAGACUUCAAUACGUACUUCCACUGGGGCAACCCUUUACUUAUUGACCUAUGGGAUGGAAGCAGUGCUCCCCAUAGAAGUGGAAAUGGAAUCCCUCAGAGUGUUGAAAGACGCUUAGCUGGAUGAAGACCAAUGGUUGGAAGACAGGUAUCACCAAUUGUCUCUAAUAGACAAAAGGCGAGGUGAUGCUAUCUUCCAUGGUCAGUUAUACCAACAAAGGAUCGCCAGAUCCUACAAUAGGAAAGUUCGGCAACGACAUUUUAAACAACAUAACUUGGUUUUAAAGAAGAUCAUUGACAACCAAGAUCAGUCAAAGGGAAAAUUUGCUCUAAACUGGGAAGACCCGUUUAUUGUCAAAGAGGUAUUGACAGGAGGUGCUCUCAGAUUACAGGAAAUUGACGGCGAUGAAUUUCCACAACUCAUCAACUCGAACACCGUGAAAUGGUACUAUAUCUGAGGUUAGCAUCAAGCAAACAUCUUGGUUUUGGAUCACCAGAUCCCCAGUCAUUUCAGGUUUUCUAACCCUUAUUAUAUACAACCUUUCUUCUUACCCAUUUUCCCCAUCAGGGAAACAUACUCUUCAAGCCAGCAGCCUGGUUUAGGAUCAGCAGAUCCUUCAAUCCACUUCAUUUCAAAUCCUCUCACACAAUUUUGGUUAUCCCACUAGGGAUUGAACCUUUCAUACCUGCAGUUUUGUCCCACUACAGAUAAGACUUUUCACACCUACAGUUUGUCCUGUACAUGGGAUUAAACUUUCUCCCAUGCAGUUUGUCCUGAACAUGGGAUCAAACUUUUCGAUUGCAUCUCAUCCUGCACAUGGGGCGAACUACGUCGACCUGAUCUCCCCGAUAUCAGGGAGUACGUAGGCAACCAUUUUCUAAUGGCCCGGUCGCAAUAAAAAAAACAAAAAACAAAAAUACUUCUACACCCUCUUACACUUCCAGAUCCUUAUAAACCCUUUCACAUACAACAUUGAACCUUUUACACCGGGUUUAAACUACGCAGGCCUGAUCUCCUCUUCAAUAGGAGUACAUAGGAAGCCAUUUAUGGUUCGGUCUUACCCCCUACCAAAACAAAAAAACUUGUCACAUGGUACUGGGAUCAUACUUCAAUCCACCACUUUUCAUCGGCUUCAGACCAAAUGGAUGGAACUAACUGAUCUCCCCACACAAAUGGGAGAAUUGGCGAACAUCUAAGCUGUGGUUGAGUCCUAAAAGAGAAACACCAAUCCAUAAGAGAUGGAACUAACUGGAUCUCCUCUUCAAUAGGAGUACCAGUGACCAUCUGUGGUGCGAUCAAUCUCAGAGAGGAGAGCCACAUUCCUCUCCACAUCUACAUACAGAAACUAGUCCCAAGGCACCAAAAAGGGUAGGGAUACACACAGAUCAAUGAUCUAUUCUGAAAGAUCCUGAGACAUCUCAAUGUCAACCCAUCAAGGAUGAGUUCAGGAUACAUCACGAUCGCAAACUCUGAAGAAAUAGGCAAAUAUCAAGCAAGUAGCAAGGCACAACUAAAAAGGAAGUAAAUCGGUGCAUAUGCGAGCUAUCAAGUCUAACAUAGAAUAUCUCUCCAAAGAAGGAGGUAACGAUGUGGUCUCCUGUUCAAGGGUCUCUACACGUGCUAAUAGAUCCACAACCAACUGCAUGGUGACAUGAUGCUCAUCAAUAUAUACACUCAUCUCAGCAAUCAUGCCAGUAAUAAAGGAUCUCACUGUAGUAUUAUUUGUAGCGGCUACGUCCCGGGCAGAUAUAGCAGCAUCCCUCUCAACAAUCAAAGCAUCUCUGGAUGAUCUAGCCUCAUCCUGCUCAGCAAUAGCGGUGUCUCUAUGAGCCAAGGCAUCCUCUCUCUCUCUCUAAUAGAGCAGCAUCUCUACCAGCAAGAGCUGUCAACAUCAAGGUCCUAGCCUGAUCUCUUUCAAAAGUCAUCAAAUGAAGACUCCGUUCUAAAUACUAUGCUAAAUGCGGGGUCACAGUAGCGGUCACACUGGGAGAAUCCAUAAUAGCUACUGUCAAACUAGCAAAUAGCUCCUCCUCGGUAGGAGAAUCAAUGUCCUCUACGGGCUCUCCAUCAUCCAAAUCAAUCCCCGACACUGUGGAUACAACCGCAGCCGAUGCAGUCUCUAUCUCCAUCCAUGCAAAAUACUCUGUCAAAUAGCCCAGAUGGCUAACAGAAAACUCAGCUAGCUCACGCUGAUCCCAACAAGCAUAUACCCUGGAUCUAUCCUCUGCUAACAAAUAGCGAGAAGCCAAGCGCUUACCUAAUGCUCCCUCAAAAGGACGGAAGUCCUGAAACUGGUUGAACUAUGACAUCACAUCCAGUGGGUGGUAGGUCGUCAUACCCCUCAAACCAGCCAAAGGGAGAUAAUCCAUGUCAGAUGCAUGAGUGAUGAAGCUAUAGGGUGAACUGAGCCAUGUACAAGGCAAAAUGCCAAAUGGAUCUCCUAUCCCUUCCAAAAACACCGACUAGGAUGUAGCGUUUGUACACCCCGCUAGCUGAAAGGAAUAAGAUAUGGCUAUCUCAUGGGUAAAACAGUAUCCAUGCUAUCAGAAGGUGCCAAUCGGUCUCAGGUGUGACAUGAACCACACAUACAACAUGACCGAGCUGCCUAUGAAUACCCUUGUGGGAUAGGUAUGACAAUACGUGGUGGAUCUCAAUGUCUCUGUCACAAUCAUCGGCACAAUGGUAUGACCCUCCCUGAGAGCUCUCACCCCAUGACAACACUGAUGUCCAACUCAUCCAUAUACAGUGGCAUGUAUAUAGAAGCCACUACGCACAUAACGAGUACAUCUACUCUGGCUACAUGCCACUGGUCCUCCGGUGUGGUGAAAUCCCCCGAGUGUCAUGCAUAACUGUCCUCUGAGCCAAAUCUGUCUACCAAAAAAUGCUGAGAUAUCACAUAGUCGGAUGUUAUCUCAUCCUGUACUACUCUAUGCCUCAGCCCGGUGAGGGUCAUAAACUGUCGGCUCAUGUCGCAAGGUCAUCCAAUAGCAGCGCCGUGAACCGCGCAUACUCCUCUAAGGUGGGAGUCAACUCCAGAAUACCAAACCGAAAAACCUGCCUCUCCGGUAUCCAAUGCUCCAGCAUACCCUGUACAAAGCCUGCGGGAACCUGAAACAUCAGAAGGGUCAUAGAAUGCUGUAAUAACUGACCUACGGUCACCCUGUCUAGAGGUGACAAACUAUCAUACCACGACCUCAGACAUGAGGCUACCAACAAUGCUGGGGUGUGAUCAAUACGGUUGACUAUCGAAGAAGAUAUCUAUGUGGGCCAUAUCAUAUGACCAUCCGGGGGUCAAUAUUGAAUAUCUCUGGACAUACAUACAUAUGCAUAACAUAAUACAUGCAUGAUAAAAUAGAUGGCAAUAUGAUGUAGGGAAUAACAAUAUAUACAUUCCUAAGUACAUCAUCAUCUAAUACAUCUCUGUACAGCUAAAAAUACAGGGAAAUGGGGCACAGACGCCCAACAACUAACAAAGGCCUAUCAAAAGAUAUAGCGAGAAUGGGGCACAGCCACCCAGUAUCUAAUAGAGGCCUAUCAAAAGAUAUAGCGAGAAUAUACAUCAGAAGAAGACAAUGGUGUCAAUGUCUAUAUCAUCAAUCAUGUCCACCUGAUGUAACUCCUCCUGAGUCACUGGAUCUCCAUCAACGGGGAUAUCAGGCCUAUAUAACGGAGGAUCUGCACCGGUAAAGACAUAUGGGUCACCUGAGGGGCCAGUUCCAGAGCUGGAAGGAUCAAAGGUAUCUGCCUCUGAAGGAUCUCUGCCCAAAUGCCGGAUAAAGAAAUGUGCCUAGUCCAACUGCCAGGUCAAACUGUCAAUCUGUGUCAAAUGAGUUGGAUCUCUAACACAGGCCAUCCAAUCCAUCAUCAUCACGGAUCCAGGAACCAUAUCCCCCAUAAACUGCGUGGCACAGGUCUGGGCUCCGAUGGUACGAAGGGACCACCAACGCUCGAACAUCUCCUGAGUAUAAGGACCCUUUGACAGUGUAAAGCCGUUAACACCCAUCAAUGGGAUAUCAAUGAUGGGCGACUAUGAUACAGGCCAAUAACGCCUGGCAUGAGGCAAGAUCGGUACACGAAUCUCCCCUGUGGUGCUCCUAAUAACACGCUCUCCUAAAUAGACCUCACAUCCUCUAUCUAUGAAGAGAAGAAUCCUACGGGUGGAUAUCAAGUACUCGACACCAGUUGGGUACCCGUCCUCAAACCCAACGGUCAAAUGCUCCCCUGAAUAGGGAAUCCAAGUGAUAGCAUCAUCUGUCAACAACUCCAACUAUAGACGACAAUGGGUGAAACCCUAAGCUACAGGAACCUCUACCAGUAUGGAGUGAUGCCAUCGCCGUCCUCGUGGAUAGGUCUCCAAACCUAACACACUCACAGGACACAAACAUGAGAGCCUCUCAUAGGCCCAGAACUACCAACACAAAGGAAAACAUCUGCUUUCAGUCAACACCCUUAACUUGUACAUGGGAAAUCAUAAGAGAAAUACUCACCAACAGAAAUGGGUAAAAUCCUAGACAAGCCUCCGUCAAGCCCUGCAAACGCAUGCGCAUGCCCCUGAGGAAAUAGGUGAAGGUGUAGGAGCCCCAAUCAUACUCUCCUAUACAGUCCACAUCUCGUGUGGCGCUCACAAAAGCGAAUGAUACCGUGGAAGAGUUAUCUUCUAUGAAGCAGCCCCUAAUGAUUAUCACGAACAAUCACCGAAGAAUGCGAUCGCUGACUCUCACAUCAUCGGGCAUGGGCUCACUCAAUAGCCCGCUCAUAGCAUCUAUGCUCAAAGGACCUGUACGAAUUAUCCUAUCUUUGAGCGCCUUAGCCGGGACUCCUAACAAUGAUCUAACGACAGUCGGGGUAAUAUUCAUCGUACAUGGCACUGGCGCCCAUCCAAACUCCAUACUGGUAAUAAAUCGUCAAUCCAUCAGCGUCAUCAUCACCUCACAAUCUAACAAAUGGAGAGACUGAGUCUGGUGAAACCAGCGCUCAGACAAAGCCCUAAGAUAACCCCAGGGACAACAACAGGGGAGGAUGGAAAAGAACGUCUUGAAGCCCCAGCCAUGCACAAUCGCUCGAUAAUCGGGAUGUAGAGCCUGAUAUAUAGAGUGAAUACUGAACCAAUUCCCUCGAGGCUACGUAAAGCCGAGAACCUACAUCAAAAAGUGGAUCAACAUCAGAAUCCUUUAAUCUUUAUCAUAGGAAAGAAGGAAGAUCAAAAUCCAGCUUGUACCUCAUUUGCAUGCAAGUAAACUGAGGGGUGUCAACUCAAAUCACCCAGAAGCUCUAGGAUUGCCACCUGAAUGCCUGGGAAAUCCCUAUGGGGAACAGGAGUAGCAAGAGCAGGGUCCGCAACUGGUACAUCUUCCUCCUCGUCCUCAACAUCCGGUAUCUCAACCUGGACAGGACAUAUCACCGCCUCCGCCAGACGACAAGGUUGUCUAACCGAACGGGGUCGAGGCACAUUAGAAGCCCUCCUUCGUACACCUGAAGUGGUCUUGCGGGAACUACUUGGCUAAUCUUGAUCUAUAUAUCUAGACACAAGUCUCUAAAUCACCUCAGAAAGGGUGUGGUAAACUCUAACCUGAAGCUUUUUCAAAUGUAUUCUAUGACUACAUGCAUGCAUGCAUUACUUUAACAUAUGUCUACAGUAGAGUUAAAAAUACAUGACUACCCAAUGCCUACAUUUUGGAAAUAAUUUGCUAUAGUCUCCUUUGUAAAUAGGACAUCCACAUGCACAUAGGCAUGACUAGGUGGCCAUUCAGUAGCACACUUACCCACAGUUAUAAACAUCCUAUAUGCAUUAUAACAUUAUAGUUAAAAUCCGUAAGGGUAGCCUAAUUACCACGAUUAAUUUGCUUUACCACCUUUGCUCAUUUGUCCUCAAAUAGGAUAAGAAAUAGCAUGAAAAAGGUGUCAAUUUGACUGUUUCAAAAGUUAAUUUUUUUCACAUCAUUAUGUUCAGCAUGGUUAAAUACUAACAUUUACUGUGUUGAAUAUUUUUUAUUAAGUCAUAUGAGCAUGCAUAUUCACUACUAUGUGUUUAGAAGUAUGCAUACGUUACCAAGUGUAAAACACUUGUACGGUGACAGAAUUUAUAGAAAGACGCUCGAACUCAGUAGAUCUGAAGAAGAGCUCUCGGAUUUCCUAUGCAGCGUAACUUGAAAAUGACUUAUGAAAGCCAUAGGUGCCUUAAAGGCCACCCACGACUGGCCAUAGGUGUACAUGUGGCUCCCUUGGGUGGGGCCCACCCCUCUGGCUUGGUCCAAUAUGAGUUUCAAAGGAGGUCUCACAAGUUGAAAAAGUUAAUUCAGGAAAAAAGAUGAUACGCGAUUGAGCGGAAAAGCCUGAAAUCCUAGUUUUCAGAGACCAAACUGUGGGUCUACAUGUCACUCAUUGGUAUUCAUCCAGACACAGGGUUUACUAUACCGAUGAUCAUAACUGUUGCAAAUUACACUCGGCAAUACCUCAUGAAGGUCUGAUGUCAUCGGUUUAGGGUCUAAGCCCCAAAACAUUUCUUCCCCAACGAAAACUCCGUCCAUUUCAUUUGUUGAUGCACACGUUAACGAAGGUCAAGCUGUAAGACCCCAACUUUUAUGAAUAAUGAAUAAUUUUCUCGAAAUAUAUUUUUAAAUAUUAUGGUGUGGAUUUGAUAUAAUGUUAUAGUUGUGGGUAAUAUUUACAAAUUUUGCAAAGUAAGCAAGUGGUUAUAUAAUAUUCAAUUGGUCGAGGAAUAUUCGUACGACGGUACAAUCAUUGGUGGACACCACAACGGAAGUAUUGUCGUAGUAAGAAAACGACAGAAUUAUCUUUUUAUAAAAAUAACGGCGGAAGUGUUACCGUUAAAACUGUUGAACUACCCGGUAAUAAAAGUACAGUAAUACGCGUGGUUGCAUAGUAGCGCACGAUAUUUGUUAUUGAUGCUUACGUGAGAAGUCACUCAGUUAUACUCAAUUAUUGCUAUAGUAAUUGCUGCAUCAUAUCUCUCAUAAUAUUGAUUCGAUUAUUGUCACAGUAUCAUCUGUAUAAUAUGAUAUAUUAUUAAAUUAAUAAUUGAAAUGACAAAGUUAUUCAUAUUAUUAAAUUGCAAUAUUGACAAUGUCUAGAAGUUCUGUCAAGGAGAGGUUUGGUCACCUAAUUGCGCGCCAAUAAGGAGAAAUCCUUAUUGGAAAGCCCCCUCUUUCAUGGGAACGACCUGGUUGUUAAAUAUUAUAAAUUAUAAUAUUAAUAAUGAAUAAGUUCAUGUUAAUUAAAGAUGAAAUUGAUAGUUCCAUUGUGUUGGAAUUUUUAGUGUUAGUGAAAAUCGACAUUUAUUUCAAUAAUAAUUGAUGUCUGGAGUUAUAUUGACCAAUCGGGUAAUUAACCGGAUAAAUGAGCAAUUAAUUGCUAUUAAUUCACAUGAUUAUAACUAUUUGUUCACAUGUGUGUACUAUUGAUUCACAUUCUUGUACUAUUAGGGGAGGUGGUGCAAGAUUGAUAAUACUUGCAUAACUAAGUUAAAAAUGGAGGUAUAGAUGGAGGUACUAUACUGUAAUUCGUAUUUUCACAUGUCUAGAACUAUUGAUUCACAUGAUUUACUAUUGAUUCACAUGAUUUACUAUUAGGAGAGGUGGUGCAAGUUUGAUAAUACUUGCAGGACUAAAUUAAAAAUAAAGGAAAAGAGGAAGGUAUUAUACUGUAAUAGUU
This 14279-nucleotide long non-coding RNA is filed under the name Panax ginseng (ginseng). RNAcentral describes it as "long non-coding RNA (PGIN_LNC011147)". The record is from RNAcentral. Lineage: Eukaryota; Viridiplantae; Streptophyta; Magnoliopsida; Apiales; Araliaceae.